This 141-nucleotide microRNA precursor is filed under the name Marmota monax (woodchuck). The record is from RNAcentral. Lineage: Eukaryota; Metazoa; Chordata; Mammalia; Rodentia; Sciuridae.
CUCUCUCUCUCUCUCUCUCUCUCUCUCUCUCUCUCUCCCUCUCUCAAUGCCUCUAUGUAAGUAUUUAUGAAACUAACAGUUUUCAUGUUCAAAAUCUGAGAGAGAGAGAGAGAGAGAGAGAGAGAGAGAGAGAGGGAGAGA